ACUAGAAUGAAUGGCUAAAUGAAGACUCAACUGUCUCUUGCAGCCCACCAAUGAAACUGAUCUCUUAGUCCAAAAGCUAAGAUUUCUUCACAAGACGAGAAGACCCUGUGGAGCUAUUAAACCAAACUCACAAAAAUGACCACUUGGUUUUCAGUUGGGGCGACUUCGGAGUAUAAAAACCCCUCCGAUAUGGUACUAAUUAAACUUAGAUGGACACAUCAAUACACCAAGACCCAGUAGGUUGCCUUUCACCUACCUGAUCAAUGAACCAAGUUACCCCAGGGAUAACAGCGCCAUCCUUUCUUAGAGUCCCUAUCGACGAAAGGGCUUACGACCUCGAUGUUGGAUCAGGACACCCCAAUAGUGCAACCGCUAUUAAUGGUUCGUUUGUUCAACGAUUAA
This 402-nucleotide ribosomal RNA is filed under the name Acanthodactylus schreiberi (Schreiber's fringe-fingered lizard). RNAcentral's name for it is "partial 16S ribosomal RNA". It matches the Rfam family "Bacterial large subunit ribosomal RNA", at positions 1986 to 2591 of the family's 2925-position model. The record is from RNAcentral. Lineage: Eukaryota; Metazoa; Chordata; Lepidosauria; Squamata; Lacertidae.